Molecule: ribosomal RNA, 486 nt
Filed under: uncultured bacterium
Lineage: Bacteria
Description: partial 16S ribosomal RNA
Rfam family: Bacterial small subunit ribosomal RNA
Source: RNAcentral
AUUGAACGCUGGCGGCAUGCCUUACACAUGCAAGUUGAACGGCAGCACGGGUGCUUGCACCUGGUGGCGAGUGGCGAACGGGUGAGUAAUACAUCGGAACAUGUCCUGUAGUGGGGGAUAGCCCGGCGAAAGCCGGAUUAAUACCGCAUACGAUCUACGGAUGAAAGCGGGGGACCUUCGGGCCUCGCGCUAUAGGGUUGGCCGAUGGCUGAUUAGCUAGUUGGUGGGGUAAAGGCCUACCAAGGCGACGAUCAGUAGCUGGUCUGAGAGGACGACCAGCCACACUGGGACUGAGACACGGCCCAGACUCCUACGGGAGGCGGCAGUGGGGAAUUUUGGACAAUGGGCGAAAGCCUGAUCCAGCAAUGCCGCGUGUGUGAAGAAGGCCUUCGGGUUGUAAAGCACUUUUGUCCGGAAAGAAAUCCUUGGCCCUAAUACGGUCGGGGGAUGACGGUACCGGAAGAAUAAGCACCGGCUAACUACGUG